AUUGAACGCUGGCGGCAUGCCUUACACAUGCAAGUCGAACGGCAGCACGGGAGCAAUCCUGGUGGCGAGUGGCGAACGGGUGAGUAAUAUAUCGGAACGUGCCCAGUCGUGGGGGAUAACGCAGCGAAAGCUGUGCUAAUACCGCAUACGAUCUAUGGAUGAAAGCGGGGGAUCGCAAGACCUCGCGCGAUUGGAGUGGCCGAUAUCAGAUUAGGUAGUUGGUGGGGUAAAGGCUCACCGAGCCGACGAUCUGUAGCUGGUCUGAGAGGACGACCAGCCACACUGGAACUGAGACACGGUCCAGACUCCUACGGGAGGCAGCAGUGGGGAAUUUUGGACAAUGGGCGCAAGCCUGAUCCAGCAAUGCCGCGUGCAGGAUGAAGGCCUUCGGGUUGUAAACUGCUUUUGUACGGAGCGAAACGGUCUACUCUAAUACAGUGGGCUAAUGACGGUACCGUAAGAAUAAGCACCGGCUAACUACGUGCCAGCAGCCGCCGUAA
This 500-nucleotide ribosomal RNA is filed under the name uncultured bacterium. RNAcentral's name for it is "partial 16S ribosomal RNA". It matches the Rfam family "Bacterial small subunit ribosomal RNA", at positions 30 to 523 of the family's 1533-position model. The record is from RNAcentral.